CUUCUCUUAGCCCUCUAACUUCUUCAAGACCUUGCAUAGAAGUGCACAAAUGAGCAUUUAAAACAGAAUCUAGAAUCCAACUAGAAGAAAAAAAAUCAUUAGAUUAGUUUCAAUUAUGAGCAAGUCAGACAUACCUUCAGAAGGCCCGUCUUUCUUUCUAUUCUUCAUAAUCGCCAGGUAUGCCAGACAGUUCCUUCUCUAGUGGCC
RNAcentral lists this long non-coding RNA (207 nucleotides) under Elaeis guineensis (African oil palm). RNAcentral describes it as "long non-coding RNA (EGUI_LNC006950)". The record is from RNAcentral. Lineage: Eukaryota; Viridiplantae; Streptophyta; Magnoliopsida; Arecales; Arecaceae.